GACGAACGCUGGCGGCGUGCCUAAUACAUGCAAGUCGAGCGGACCGAACAGGAGCUUGCUCUUGUUCGGUUAGCGGCGGACGGGUGAGUAACACGUGGGUAACCUGCCCGUAAGACCGGGAUAACUCCGGGAAACCGGAGCUAAUACCGGAUAACACCGAAGACCGCAUGGUCUUUGGUUGAAAGGCGGCUUCGGCUGCCACUUACGGAUGGGCCCGCGGCGCAUUAGCUAGUUGGUGAGGUAACGGCCCACCAAGGCGACGAUGCGUAGCCGGCCUGAGAGGGUGACCGGCCACACUGGGACUGAGACACGGCCCAGACUCCUACGGGAGGCAGCAGUAGGGAAUCUUCCGCAAUGGACGAAAGUCUGACGGAGCGACGCCGCGUGAGCGAAGAAGGUCUUCGGAUCGUAAAGCUCUGUUGUUAGGGAAGAAGAAGCGUCGUUCGAACAGGGCGGCGCGGUGACGGUACCUAACGAGAAAGCCCCGGCUAACUACGUG
RNAcentral lists this ribosomal RNA (499 nucleotides) under uncultured bacterium. RNAcentral's name for it is "partial 16S ribosomal RNA". It matches the Rfam family "Bacterial small subunit ribosomal RNA", at positions 28 to 507 of the family's 1533-position model. The record is from RNAcentral.